UACAGGAAUACAAUUUCGAAAUUACGUCAGUUUUAUGUACUCCUAGUACCUUCCAUUUUCCGGACUCCCUGUGAUUCCGCAUCUAAGAUACUUCCGUAUGGCAAAAACACGCCGAAAAUUCUGGUGCUCACUCCGUCGGUCAUCGCGGUCGUAAAAUUUAUGACCAUACACACUGGACAACAUAAUUCGGUGUGGAUAUUUCAAAGAGCUUUCGGCUUUAGCGGAUUAAGAACGCGUGUUGGCCGAAAAAGGGGCGUGAAAGGGGAUAAGGUUGGGUAUUUGGCGGACCGAAAGGACGAGGCUGUUAUAUUUGUAUGGCUUUUCAAUUGUGGCCGGCCAUAUUGUACUUUCAGCGCUCACGGGAGUUGAAUAAAUCAGGAGUGAUACGAAAUUAAUGGAGGAAUUGCAGAACGGCAUGUGAAAAGGGAUUUUUGGAUUCAUUGAAUUUUGUUGCAUUUAUUGUAUUAUUUUCCAUAGAUUUUGUCGAUUUCA
Long non-coding RNA from Drosophila santomea, 492 nucleotides. RefSeq lists it as uncharacterized. The transcript has 2 exons. The record is from RefSeq and is a predicted model, not a curated record. Lineage: Eukaryota; Metazoa; Arthropoda; Insecta; Diptera; Drosophilidae.